Suricata suricatta (meerkat) is the source of this 518-nucleotide long non-coding RNA. RefSeq lists it as uncharacterized. The record is from RefSeq and is a predicted model, not a curated record. The transcript has 2 exons. NCBI's taxonomy places the organism in Eukaryota, Metazoa, Chordata, Mammalia, Carnivora, Herpestidae.
CAAGCUUGCGGGGCCCUCCCGUGCUGUUUUCCGAUCCCGGACUGAGUACAUUAAGAAACAAGUACUUGGACAACUACAAAGGGGCAUCAGCCACCAUUGCGUGGCUGCACCAGUUUGCGUCCCUGCCUCUAUUCUUGUUAGCAUCUGCGCCUCUGCCCUGCACCUGCCUUACAGUUUAGAUCAUAUACGUCCCCCUUGCAAAGGUCAAGGAGUUGAUGACUUCUUCGGAGUCUUGCAGCACAAUAGAAGAUAUCUAAGGAGUGACUGUGUGGGGUCCAAGGCCACUCCAGACACCAGUGAUGCCUGACACCCAGACCCCUGGCUCCAGGGACAUAAGUGACCUAUGGAGGACACCUGAGCACCUGUCCUUGUUUUGACCGGCUCCUGGAUGCCUGAGAGGACACGUACAUCAGACCCCAGGCAGAGACAAGACUUUCUGUUUUCCUUUCUGAGUCUGUUAGAUGCUGUGCCUGCGUCUGGACUCGCUCUAUGUCUUCAGUAAACUCUGAUCUCGCCUC